This is a non-coding RNA of Triticum aestivum (bread wheat), 125 nucleotides long. NCBI's taxonomy places the organism in Eukaryota, Viridiplantae, Streptophyta, Magnoliopsida, Poales, Poaceae. The record is from Rfam.
UAUAUAUUCCCUUCGCCCGGAAUUAGUUGUUGCAGAGAUGGAUGUAUCUAGACGUAUUUUAGUUCUUGAUACAUCCAUUUCUAUCCAUUUAUGCGACAAGUAACUCGGAGUGGAGGGAGUAUUGC